GACUAUUGUCUUCAACGUCUUCUUCUCCCGCAUUUUUCUUGGCAUCCCAACUUCCUG
This 57-nucleotide small RNA is filed under the name Thalassiosira antarctica. RNAcentral describes it as "partial Mitochondrion-encoded tmRNA". The record is from RNAcentral. Lineage: Eukaryota; Bacillariophyta; Thalassiosirophyceae; Thalassiosirales; Thalassiosiraceae.